RNAcentral lists this ribosomal RNA (497 nucleotides) under uncultured bacterium. RNAcentral describes it as "partial 16S ribosomal RNA". It matches the Rfam family "Bacterial small subunit ribosomal RNA", at positions 28 to 507 of the family's 1533-position model. The record is from RNAcentral.
GACGAACGCUGGCGGCGUGCCUAAUACAUGCGAGUUGAGCGAUGAAGAUUGGUGCUUGCACCAAUUUGAAGAGCAGCGAACGGGUGAGUAACGCGUGGGGAAUCUGCCUUUGAGCGGGGGACAACAUUUGGAAACGAAUGCUAAUACCGCAUAACAACUUUAAACAUAAGUUUUAAGUUUGAAAGAUGCAAUUGCAUCACUCAAAGAUGAUCCCGCGUUGUAUUAGCUAGUUGGUGAGGUAAAGGCUCACCAAGGCGAUGAUACAUGGCCGACCUGAGAGGGUGAUCGGCCACAUUGGGACUGAGACACGGCCCAAACUCCUACGGGAGGCAGCAGUAGGGAAUCUUCGGCAAUGGACGAAAGUCUGACCGAGCAACGCCGCGUGAGUGAAGAAGGGUGUCGGAUCGUAAAACUCUGUUGGUAGAGAAGAACGUUGGUGAGAGUGGAAAGCUCAUCAAGUGACGGUAACUACCCAGAAAGGGACGGCUAACUACGUG